This 253-nucleotide ribosomal RNA is filed under the name uncultured bacterium. RNAcentral describes it as "partial 16S ribosomal RNA". It matches the Rfam family "Bacterial small subunit ribosomal RNA", at positions 524 to 776 of the family's 1533-position model. The record is from RNAcentral.
UACGAAGGGGGCUAGCGUUGCUCGGAAUGACUGGGCGUAAAGGGCGCGUAGGCGGCUCACAGAGUCGGACGUGAAAUUCCUGGGCUUAACCUAGGGGCUGCGUUCGAUACCUGUGGACUAGAGUGGGGAAGAGGGUCGUGGAAUUCCCAGUGUAGAGGUGAAAUUCGUAGAUAUUGGGAAGAACACCGGUGGCGUAGGCGGCGACCUGGUCCUUUACUGACGCUGAGGCGCGAAAGCGUGGGGAGCAAACAGG